This 483-nucleotide ribosomal RNA is filed under the name uncultured bacterium. RNAcentral describes it as "bacterial SSU rRNA". It matches the Rfam family "Bacterial small subunit ribosomal RNA", at positions 30 to 507 of the family's 1533-position model. The record is from RNAcentral.
AUUGAACGCUGGCGGCAUGCCUUACACAUGCAAGUCGAACGGCAGCACGGGAGCAAUCCUGGUGGCGAGUGGCGAACGGGUGAGUAAUAUAUCGGAACGUGCCCGGUCGUGGGGGAUAACGUAGCGAAAGCUACGCUAAUACCGCAUACGAUCUGUGGAUGAAAGCGGGGGAUCGCAAGACCUCGCGCGAUUGGAGCGGCCGAUAUCAGAUUAGGUAGUUAGUGAGGUAAAGGCUCACCAAGCCGACGAUCUGUAGCUGGUCUGAGAGGACGACCAGCCACACUGGGACUGAGACACGGCCCAGACUCCUACGGGAGGCAGCAGUGGGGAAUUUUGGACAAUGGGCGCAAGCCUGAUCCAGCAAUGCCGCGUGCAGGAUGAAGGCCUUCGGGUUGUAAACUGCUUUGUACGGAACGAAACGGUGAGCUCUAAUACAGUUUGCUAAUGACGGUACCGUAAGAAUAAGCACCGGCUAACUACGUG